GGAAUAUUGGACAAUGGGGGAAACCCUGAUCCAGCAAUGCCGCGUGUGUGAAGAAGGCCUGCGGGUUGUAAAGCACUUUCAGUAGAGAAGAAAAGCAUACGGUUAAUAACCGUUUGUCUUGACGUAACCUACAGAAGAAGCACCGGCUAACUCCGUGCCACCAGCCGCGGUAAUACGGAGGGUGCAAGCGUUAAUCGGAAUUACUGGGGGUAAAGCGCGCGUAGGCGGUUUGGUAAGUCGGAUGUGAAAGCCCUGGGCUUAACCUGGGAAUUGCAUUCGAUACUGCCUGACUAGAGUAUGGUAGAGGGAAGUGGAAUUUCCGGGGUAGCGGUGAAAUGCGUAGAUAUCGGAAGGAACACCAGUGGCGAAGGCGACUUCCUGGGCCAAUUCUGACGCUGAGGUACGAAAGCGUGGGGAGCAAAC
Molecule: ribosomal RNA, 423 nt
Filed under: uncultured bacterium
Lineage: Bacteria
Description: bacterial SSU rRNA
Rfam family: Bacterial small subunit ribosomal RNA
Source: RNAcentral